CACGCCGUAAACGAUGAAUACUAGGUGUCGGGGUCGUAUAGGCUUCGGUGCCGCCGCAAACGCAGUAAGUAUUCCACCUGGGGAGUACGUUCGCAAGAAUGAAACUCAAAGGAAUUGACG
RNAcentral lists this ribosomal RNA (120 nucleotides) under uncultured bacterium. RNAcentral's name for it is "partial 16S ribosomal RNA". It matches the Rfam family "Bacterial small subunit ribosomal RNA", at positions 796 to 915 of the family's 1533-position model. The record is from RNAcentral.